Molecule: ribosomal RNA, 46 nt
Filed under: Laurus azorica
Lineage: Eukaryota; Viridiplantae; Streptophyta; Magnoliopsida; Laurales; Lauraceae
Description: 26S ribosomal RNA
Source: RNAcentral
UCUAAUCGUUCCAAAUUCUCAUAAGUGGCAUUAAUCAAAUUCGAUU